This 432-nucleotide ribosomal RNA is filed under the name uncultured bacterium. RNAcentral describes it as "bacterial SSU rRNA". It matches the Rfam family "Bacterial small subunit ribosomal RNA", at positions 28 to 457 of the family's 1533-position model. The record is from RNAcentral.
GAUGAACGCUAGCGGCAGGCUUAACACAUGCAAGUCGAGGGGCAGCGUGGAGCAGCAAUGCUCUGACGGCGACCGGCGGAAGGGUGCGUAACACGUGAGCGACUUGCCCGUCACAGGGGGGUAACCGCGGAAACGGCGACUAAUACCCCAUACGAUGCGAUGCUGCAUGGCAUUGCAUUGAAAGAUUCAUCGGUGGCGGAUAGGCUCGCGGGACAUUAGCUAGACGGCGGGGCAACGGCCCACCGUGGCGACGAUGUCUAGGGGUUCUGAGAGGAAGGCCCCCCCANACUGGGACUGAGACACGGCCCAGACUCCUACGGGAGGCAGCAGUGAGGAAUAUUGGUCAAUGGGCGAAGCCUGAACCAGCCAUGCCGCGUGAAGGCUAAGGCCCUACGGGUCGUAAACUUCUUUAGACGCAGAGCAAUAAGGUCC